This 75-nucleotide transfer RNA is filed under the name Haloferacaceae archaeon YAN. RNAcentral describes it as "tRNA-Val". It matches the Rfam family "tRNA". Rfam says of the family: Transfer RNA (tRNA) molecules are approximately 80 nucleotides in length. RNAcentral also lists the same sequence under 1 other name. Lineage: Archaea; Methanobacteriati; Methanobacteriota; Halobacteria; Halobacteriales; Haloferacaceae. The record is from RNAcentral.
GGGUUGCUGGUCUAGCCUGGUUAUGACGUCGCCUUCACACGGCGAAGCUCCCAAGUUCGAAUCUUGGGCAACCCA